AGUGAAAUCUGGCGGCGUGCCUAAUACAUGCAAGUCGCACGGAGUGGCGCACGGGCUGGUAAUGUAUCACUAAUCUGACCUCAACUAGCGGACAACAGUUGGAAACGACUGCUAAUACUCUAUAGUGUAGGAUGAGGCUAUAUUGUAUCAGCUAGUUGGUGAGGUAAUGGCUCACCAAGGCUAUUACGCAUAACUGUUCUGAGAGGAUGAUCAGUCACACUGGAACUGAGACAUGGUCCAUACUACUAAGGGAGGCAGCAGUAGGGAAUAUUGCUCCAUGGGCGAAACCCGGGACAAGCAUCGCCGAGUGGAGGAUGACUUUUUCCGGAGCCUAAACUACUUUCGUUAGCGAAGAGCCACCUAACGAAUACUCACCGGCUAACUCCGUGACAGCAGCCGCGGUAAUAC
RNAcentral lists this ribosomal RNA (408 nucleotides) under uncultured bacterium. RNAcentral's name for it is "partial 16S ribosomal RNA". It matches the Rfam family "Bacterial small subunit ribosomal RNA", at positions 29 to 526 of the family's 1533-position model. The record is from RNAcentral.